Molecule: small nuclear RNA, 21 nt
Filed under: Arabidopsis thaliana (thale cress)
Lineage: Eukaryota; Viridiplantae; Streptophyta; Magnoliopsida; Brassicales; Brassicaceae
Description: snRNA_06923
Source: RNAcentral
UGCAAAAAUGUAUAUAUAAAU